This 2235-nucleotide ribosomal RNA is filed under the name Salmonella enterica. RNAcentral describes it as "bacterial LSU rRNA". It matches the Rfam family "Bacterial large subunit ribosomal RNA", at positions 594 to 2812 of the family's 2925-position model. The record is from RNAcentral. Lineage: Bacteria; Pseudomonadati; Pseudomonadota; Gammaproteobacteria; Enterobacterales; Enterobacteriaceae.
UGACUGCGUACCUUUUGUAUAAUGGGUCAGCGACUUAUAUUCUGUAGCAAGGUUAACCGAAUAGGGGAGCCGGAGGGAAACCGAGUCUUAAUUGGGCGUUAAGUUGCAGGGUAUAGACCCGAAACCCGGUGAUCUAGCCAUGGGCAGGUUGAAGGUUGGGUAACACUAACUGGAGGACCGAACCGACUAAUGUUGAAAAAUUAGCGGAUGACCUGUGGCUGGGGGUGAAAGGCCAAUCAAACCGGGAGAUAGCUGGUUCUCCCCGAAAGCUAUUUAGGUAGCGCCUCGUGAAUUCAUCUCCGGGGGUAGAGCACUGUUUCGGCUAGGGGGCCAUCCCGGCUUACCAACCCGAUGCAAACUGCGAAUACCGGAGAAUGUUAUCACGGGAGACACACGGCGGGUGCUAACGUCCGUCGUGAAGAGGGAAACAACCCAGACCGCCAGCUAAGGUCCCAAAGUCAUGGUUAAGUGGGAAACGAUGUGGGAAGGCCCAGACAGCCAGGAUGUUGGCUUAGAAGCAGCCAUCAUUUAAAGAAAGCGUAAUAGCUCACUGGUCGAGUCGGCCUGCGCGGAAGAUGUAACGGGGCUAAACCAUGCACCGAAGCUGCGGCAGCGACGCUUAUGCGUUGUUGGGUAGGGGAGCGUUCUGUAAGCCUGCGAAGGUGGCCUGUGAGGGUUGCUGGAGGUAUCAGAAGUGCGAAUGCUGACAUAAGUAACGAUAAAGCGGGUGAAAAGCCCGCUCGCCGGAAGACCAAGGGUUCCUGUCCAACGUUAAUCGGGGCAGGGUGAGUCGACCCCUAAGGCGAGGCCGAAAGGCGUAGUCGAUGGGAAACGGGUUAAUAUUCCCGUACUUGGUGUUACUGCGAAGGGGGGACGGAGAAGGCUAUGUUGGCCGGGCGACGGUUGUCCCGGUUUAAGCGUGUAGGUGUGUGUUCCAGGUAAAUCCGGUUCACUUUAACACUGAGGCGUGACGACGAGGCACUACGGUGCUGAAGCAACAAAUGCCCUGCUUCCAGGAAAAGCCUCUAAGCAUCAGGUAACAUCAAAUCGUACCCCAAACCGACACAGGUGGUCAGGUAGAGAAUACCAAGGCGCUUGAGAGAACUCGGGUGAAGGAACUAGGCAAAAUGGUGCCGUAACUUCGGGAGAAGGCACGCUGACACGUAGGUGAAGUGAUUUACUCAUGGAGCUGAAGUCAGUCGAAGAUACCAGCUGGCUGCAACUGUUUAUUAAAAACACAGCACUGUGCAAACACGAAAGUGGACGUAUACGGUGUGACGCCUGCCCGGUGCCGGAAGGUUAAUUGAUGGGGUCAGCGCAAGCGAAGCUCCUGAUCGAAGCCCCGGUAAACGGCGGCCGUAACUAUAACGGUCCUAAGGUAGCGAAAUUCCUUGUCGGGUAAGUUCCGACCUGCACGAAUGGCGUAAUGAUGGCCAGGCUGUCUCCACCCGAGACUCAGUGAAAUUGAACUCGCUGUGAAGAUGCAGUGUACCCGCGGCAAGACGGAAAGACCCCGUGAACCUUUACUAUAGCUUGACACUGAACAUUGAGCCUUGAUGUGUAGGAUAGGUGGGAGGCUUUGAAGUGUGGACGCCAGUCUGCAUGGAGCCGACCUUGAAAUACCACCCUUUAAUGUUUGAUGUUCUAACGUGGACCCGUUACCCGGGUUGCGGACAGUGUCUGGUGGGUAGUUUGACUGGGGCGGUCUCCUCCUAAAGAGUAACGGAGGAGCACGAAGGUUGGCUAAUCCUGGUCGGACAUCAGGAGGUUAGUGCAAUGGCAUAAGCCAGCUUGACUGCGAGCGUGACGGCGCGAGCAGGUGCGAAAGCAGGUCAUAGUGAUCCGGUGGUUCUGAAUGGAAGGGCCAUCGCUCAACGGAUAAAAGGUACUCCGGGGAUAACAGGCUGAUACCGCCCAAGAGUUCAUAUCGACGGCGGUGUUUGGCACCUCGAUGUCGGCUCAUCACAUCCUGGGGCUGAAGUAGGUCCCAAGGGUAUGGCUGUUCGCCAUUUAAAGUGGUACGCGAGCUGGGUUUAGAACGUCGUGAGACAGUUCGGUCCCUAUCUGCCGUGGGCGCUGGAGAACUGAGGGGGGCUGCUCCUAGUACGAGAGGACCGGAGUGGACGCAUCACUGGUGUUCGGGUUGUCAUGCCAAUGGCACUGCCCGGUAGCUAAAUGCGGAAGAGAUAAGUGCUGAAAGCAUCUAAGCACGAAACUUGCCCCGAGAUGAGUUCU